GAAGUGGUGGUUCAGUGGUAGAACUCUCGCCUUCCGUGUGGGAGAACAGGGUUCGAUUCUCAGCCAGUGCA
Molecule: transfer RNA, 71 nt
Filed under: Loxodonta africana (African savanna elephant)
Lineage: Eukaryota; Metazoa; Chordata; Mammalia; Proboscidea; Elephantidae
Rfam family: tRNA
About the family: Transfer RNA (tRNA) molecules are approximately 80 nucleotides in length. Their secondary structure includes four short double-helical elements and three loops (D, anti-codon, and T loops). Further hydrogen bonds mediate the characteristic L-shaped molecular structure. tRNAs have two regions of fundamental functional importance: the anti-codon, which is responsible for specific mRNA codon recognition, and the 3' end, to which the tRNAs corresponding amino acid is attached (by aminoacyl-tRNA synthetases). tRNAs cope with the degeneracy of the genetic code in two manners: having more than one tRNA (with a specific anti-codon) for a particular amino acid; and 'wobble' base-pairing, i.e. permitting non-standard base-pairing at the 3rd anti-codon position.
Source: Rfam by way of RNAcentral